This 499-nucleotide ribosomal RNA is filed under the name uncultured bacterium. RNAcentral describes it as "partial 16S ribosomal RNA". It matches the Rfam family "Bacterial small subunit ribosomal RNA", at positions 29 to 523 of the family's 1533-position model. The record is from RNAcentral.
AUUGAACGCUGGCGGAAUGCUUUACACAUGCAAGUCGAGCGGCAGCGCGGGGGCAACCCUGGCGGCGAGCGGCGAACGGGUGAGUAACACAUCGGAACGUACCCACUUGUGGGGGAUAACGAAUCGAAAGAUUCGCUAAUACCGCAUAAGACCUGAGGGUGAAAGCGGGGGACCGAAAGGCCUCGCGCGAGUGGAGCGGCCGAUGUCGGAUUAGCUAGUUGGUGAGGUAAAGGCUCACCAAGGCGACGAUCCGUAGCGGGUCUGAGAGGACGACCAGCCACACGGGAACUGAGACAAGGUCCAGACUCCUACGGAAGGCAGCAGUGGGGAAUUUUGGACAAUGGGGCAACCCUGAUCCAGCCAUUCCGCGUGAGUGAAGAAGGCCUUCGGGUUGUAAAGCUCCUUCGGCAGGAACGAAACGGUCCUAGUUAAUACCUGGGGCUAAUGACGGUACCUGAAGAAGAAGCACCGGCUAACUAUGUGCCAGCAGCCGCCGUAA